Oncorhynchus keta (chum salmon) is the source of this 1591-nucleotide long non-coding RNA. RefSeq lists it as uncharacterized. The transcript has 3 exons. NCBI's taxonomy places the organism in Eukaryota, Metazoa, Chordata, Actinopteri, Salmoniformes, Salmonidae. The record is from RefSeq and is a predicted model, not a curated record.
UAGGCAGGUAGGCAGGCAGGUAGACACUGUAAGUAGGCAGGCAGGUAGGUACUGUAAGUAGGUAGGUAGGUACUGUAAGCAGGCAGGCAGGUAGGUAAUGUAAGUAGGCAGGUAGGCAGGCAGGUAGACACUGUAAGUAGGCAGGCAGGUAGGUACUGUAAGUAGGUAGGUAGGUACUGUAAGCAGGCAGGCAGGUAGGUAAUGUAAGUAGGCAGGUAGGCAGGCAGGUAGACACUGUAAGUAGGUAGGUAGGUACUGUAAGCAGGCAGGCAGGUAGGUAAUGUAAGUAGGCAGGUAGGCAGGCAGGUAGACACUGUAAGUAGGUAGGUAGGUACUGUAAGCAGGCAGGCAGGUAGGUAAUGUAAGUAGGCAGGUAGGCAGGCAGGUAGACACUGUAAGUAGGUAGGUAGGUACUGUAAGCAGGCAGGCAGGUAGGUAAUGUAAGUAGGCAGGUAGGCAGGCAGGCAGGUAGACACUGUAAGUAGGCAGGCAGGUAGGCACUGUAAGUAGGUAGGUAGGUACUGUAAGCAGGCAGGCAGGUAGGUAAUGUAAGUAGGCAGGUAGGCAGGCAGGUAGGCACUGUAAGUAGGUAGGUAGGUACUGUAAGCAGGCAGGCAGGUAGGUAAUGUAAGUAGGCAGGUAGGCAGGCAGGUAGACACUGUAAGUAGGCAGGCAGGUAGGUACUGUAAGUAGGCAAGCAGGUAGGUAGGUAGGUACUGUAAGUAGGGAGGCAGGUAGGUAGGUAGGUACUGUAAGUAGGCAGGCAGGUAGGCACUGUAAGUAGGCAGGCAGGUAGUCACUGUAAGUAGGCAGGCAGGUAGGUACCAUAGGUAGGCAGGCAGGCAGGUAGGUACCAUAAGUAGGCAGGCAGGCAGGUAGGCACUGUAAGUAGGUAGGUAGGUAGGUAGGUAGGUAGGUAGGUAGGUAGGUAGGUAGGUAGGUACUGUAAGUAGGCAGGCAGGUAGGUAGGUAGGUAGGUACUGUAAGUAGGGAGGCAGGUAGGUAAUGUAAGUAGGCAGGUAGGCAGGCAGGUAGACACUAAGUAGGCAGGCAGGUAGGUACUGUAAGUAGGCAAGCAGAUAGGCACUGUAAGUAGGCAGGCAGGUAGGUACUGUAAGUAGGCAGGCAGGCAGGUAGGUACUGUAAGUAGGCAGACACCCAGGUAGGUAGGUACUGUUAGUAGGCAGGUAGGCAGUACUGUAAGUAGGUAGGCAGGCAGGUAGGUACUGUAAGUAGGCAGACACCCAGGUAGGUAGGUACUGUUAGUAGGCAGGUAGGUACUGUAAGUAGUCAGGCAGGCAGGUAGGUACUGUAAGUAGGCAGGCAGGCAGGUAGGUACUGUAAGUAGGCAGGCAGGCAGGUAGGUUACUGUAAGUAGGUAGGCAGGUAGGUACUGUAAGUAGGCAGGCAGGUGCUGGGGCAUUUAAAAGCCCUUAACACUCAUGGACACACACUUACGGGAAGGCAUGCAUACACAUAUGAGAUGAAGGUCUCUCACACACAAACGCACUCGCACAAACCCAUACAAAUAUAUAGGAAGCCCCAUAGCUCAUUUUAGCAUGUCCACAGCAGCAUAUUCCCCAUGCAGAUG